GUAAUUAUUAUGAUUUCAGACGCUGAAUGCAAAUACAUAGGGUUAUGAAUUGUCCAAGCGGCGGGGUGAGCCGCCGAGGAAACACGGGUACGCAAAUAGGGGGUGUAAGAGAGGCUGUAGCUAGCUACGACCUCACGCCCACGAGGGGCAAAUGUAAUGAUCCUUCCGCAGGUUCACCUACGGAAA
This 186-nucleotide unclassified non-coding RNA is filed under the name uncultured fungus. RNAcentral's name for it is "sequence contains ITS1". The record is from RNAcentral. Lineage: Eukaryota; Fungi.